This 460-nucleotide ribosomal RNA is filed under the name uncultured bacterium. RNAcentral describes it as "partial 16S ribosomal RNA". It matches the Rfam family "Bacterial small subunit ribosomal RNA", at positions 338 to 795 of the family's 1533-position model. The record is from RNAcentral.
CCUACGGGUGGCAGCAGUGAGGAAUAUUGGUCAAUGGACGAGAGUCUGAACCAGCCAAGUAGCGUGAAGGAUGACUGCCCUAUGGGUUGUAAACUUCUUUUAUAUGGGAAUAAAAUGUUCCACGUGUGGGAUUUUGUAUGUACCAUAUGAAUAAGGAUCGGCUAACUCCGUGCCAGCAGCCGCGGUAAUACGGAGGAUCCGAGCGUUAUCCGGAUUUAUUGGGUUUAAAGGGAGCGUAGGUGGAUUGUUAAGUCAGUUGUGAAAGUUUGCGGCUCAACCGUAAAAUUGCAGUUGAAACUGGCAGUCGUGAGUACAGUAGAGGUGGGCGGAAUGCGUGGUGUAGCGGUGAAAUGCUUAGAUAUCACGAAGAACUCCGAUUGCGAAGGCAGCUCACUGGACUGCAACUGACAUUGAGGCUCGAAAGUGUGGGUAUCAAACAGGAUUAGAUACCCCUGUAGUC